CGAAGUGGUUGAUGCCAUGCUUCCAAGAAAAGCUUCUAAGCUUCAGGUAACCAGGAACCGUACCCCAAACCGACACAGGUGGUUGGGUAGAGAAUACCAAGGCGCUUGAGAGAACUCGGGUGAAGGAACUAGGCAAAAUGGCACCGUAACUUCGGGAGAAGGUGCGCCGGUGAGGGUUAAGGACUUGCUCCGUAAGCUCAUGCCGGUCGAAGAUACCAGGCCGCUGCGACUGUUUAUUAAAAACACAGCACUCUGCAAACACGAAAGUGGACGUAUAGGGUGUGACGCCUGCCCGGUGCCGGAAGGUUAAUUGAUGGGGUUAGCUAACGCGAAGCUCUUGAUCGAAGCCCCGGUAAACGGCGGCCGUAACUAUAACGGUCCUAAGGUAGCGAAAUUCCUUGUCGGGUAAGUUCCGACCUGCACGAAUGGCGUAACGAUGGCGGCGCUGUCUCCACCCGAGACUCAGUGAAAUUGAAAUCGCUGUGAAGAUGCAGUGUAUCCGCGGCUAGACGGAAAGACCCCGUGAACCUUUACUAUAGCUUUGCACUGGACUUUGAAUUUGCUUGUGUAGGAUAGGUGGGAGGCUUUGAAGCGUGGACGCCAGUCUGCGUGGAGCCAUCCUUGAAAUACCACCCUGGCAACUUUGAGGUUCUAACUCAGGUCCGUUAUCCGGAUCGAGGACAGUGUAUGGUGGGUAGUUUGACUGGGGCGGUCUCCUCCUAAAGAGUAACGGAGGAGUACGAAGGUGCGCUCAGACCGGUCGGAAAUCGGUCGUAGAGUAUAAAGGCAAAAGCGCGCUUGACUGCGAGACAGACACGUCGAGCAGGUACGAAAGUAGGUCUUAGUGAUCCGGUGGUUCUGUAUGGAAGGGCCAUCGCUCAACGGAUAAAAGGUACUCCGGGGAUAACAGGCUGAUACCGCCCAAGAGUUCAUAUCGACGGCGGUGUUUGGCACCUCGAUGUCGGCUCAUCACAUCCUGGGGCUGAAGCCGGUCCCAAGGGUAUGGCUGUUCGCCAUUUAAAGUGGUACGCGAGCUGGGUUUAGAACGUCGUGAGACAGUUCGGUCCCUAUCUGCCGUGGACGUUUGAGAUUUGAGAGGGGCUGCUCCUAGUACGAGAGGACCGGAGUGGACGAACCUCUGGUGUUCCGGUUGUCACGCCAGUGGCAUUGCCGGGUAGCUAUGUUCGGAAUAGAUAACCGCUGAAAGCAUCUAAGCGGGAAACUAGCCUCAAGAUGAGAUCUCACUGGAACCUUGAGUUCCCUGAAGGGCCGUCGAAGACUACGACGUUGAUAGGUUGGGUGUGUAAGCGCUGUGAGGCGUUGAGCUAACCAAUACUAAUUGCCCGUGAGGCUUGACC
RNAcentral lists this ribosomal RNA (1358 nucleotides) under Pseudomonas fluorescens NZ052. Its description in RNAcentral is "bacterial LSU rRNA". It matches the Rfam family "Bacterial large subunit ribosomal RNA", at positions 1586 to 2925 of the family's 2925-position model. The record is from RNAcentral. Lineage: Bacteria; Pseudomonadati; Pseudomonadota; Gammaproteobacteria; Pseudomonadales; Pseudomonadaceae.